Molecule: small nucleolar RNA, 136 nt
Filed under: Neotoma lepida (desert woodrat)
Lineage: Eukaryota; Metazoa; Chordata; Mammalia; Rodentia; Cricetidae
Description: Small nucleolar RNA SNORA71
Rfam family: Small nucleolar RNA SNORA71
About the family: The members of this family belong to the H/ACA class of snoRNAs which bind a number of proteins (including dyskerin, Gar1p and Nop10p) to form snoRNP complexes. This class of snoRNAs are thought to guide the sites of modification of uridines to pseudouridines by forming direct base pairing interactions with substrate RNAs.
Source: Rfam by way of RNAcentral
CCCUGCAUUAAAAAGUGAUUGUGCAAUGCUUAUGCUCUGGGCAUUGAUACUAUGGGGAGAGAAUGCCAAAAGCCUCUCCCUGUGUUUGGAAGGUCCAGUCCUGCCUGUCCUUGCUAAAUCCUGGUGCUUUUGAACA